Molecule: ribosomal RNA, 289 nt
Filed under: uncultured bacterium
Lineage: Bacteria
Description: partial 16S ribosomal RNA
Rfam family: Bacterial small subunit ribosomal RNA
Source: RNAcentral
CGGUAAUACGGAGGGUGCGAGCGUUAAUCGGAAUUACUGGGCGUAAAGACGCAUGCAGGUGGUUUGUUUAAGUUCAGAUGUGAAAGACCCGGGGCGUCAACCUCCGGAAUAAGCAUUUGUAAACUAGGCAGACUAGAGUACUGUAGAGGGGGGUAGGAAGUUUCAGGUGUAGCGGUGAAAUAGCGUAGAGAUCUGAAGGAAUACCGGUGGCGAAGGCGGCCCCCUCGGACAGAUACUGACACUCAGAUGCGAAAGCGUGGGGAGCAAACAGGAUUAGAUACCCUGGUAG